UACGUAGGGUGCGAGCGUUAAUCGGAAUUACUGGGCGUAAAGCGUGCGCAGGCGGCGCGUUAAGACAGGUGUGAAAGCCCCGAGCUUAACUUGGGAAUUGCGCUUGUGACUGGCGUGCUGGAGUGUGGCAGAGGGAGGUGGAAUUCCACGUGUAGCAGUGAAAUGCGUAGAGAUGCGGAGGAACACCAGUGGCGAAAGCGACUUUCUGGUCCUUAACUGACGCUGAGGCGCGAAAGCAUGGGGAGCGAACGGG
RNAcentral lists this ribosomal RNA (253 nucleotides) under uncultured bacterium. RNAcentral's name for it is "partial 16S ribosomal RNA". It matches the Rfam family "Bacterial small subunit ribosomal RNA", at positions 524 to 776 of the family's 1533-position model. The record is from RNAcentral.